RNAcentral lists this long non-coding RNA (353 nucleotides) under Struthio camelus australis. RNAcentral describes it as "lncRNA (ENSSCUG00000015873.1)". The record is from RNAcentral. Lineage: Eukaryota; Metazoa; Chordata; Aves; Struthioniformes; Struthionidae.
UUUUUUACUUUAGAACAUAGGCUAAAGAGCUCCCUGAGAGACUUCAUUUCUGAGAAGGAAAUCUGCGCAGCCUCCUGAGCUGAUACCCCCACAACAGGAACUCCAAGGAGGAAUUUUAGCUGGAUACUAUCUGUGACGGAUCACUUCCCUUCACCUGGGAGCUGACAUCAUCAGGGCUUUUGAAGCAAGAUGGGAAAGCCUGUAUGGAUAGAGCGUCCUUUUUGCCUUAUGAUGUCACUGAGAUAAGAAAUGCAAGAAUUCCAGUAAGUCAGGUGUCCAAACCCCAUCUCCCUCUGAAAUGCCUCAUUGUUUGCUGUUGGCUCAGAAGCAUGAAAAGCACGCUGACGGCAUGA